AUUGAACGCUGGCGGCAUGCCUUACACAUGCAAGUCGAACGGCAGCACGGGAGCAAUCCUGGUGGCGAGUGGCGAACGGGUGAGUAAUAUAUCGGAACGUGCCCGGUCGUGGGGAUAACGUAGCGAAAGCUACGCUAAUACCGCAUACGAUCUACGGAUGAAAGCGGGGGAUCGCAAGACCCCGCGCGAUUGGAGCGGCCGAUAUCAGAUUAGGUAGUUGGUGAGGUAAAGGCUCACCAAGCCGACGAUCUGUAGCUGGUCUGAGAGGACGACCAGCCACACUGGGACUGAGACACGGCCCAGACUCCUACGGGAGGCAGCAGUGGGGAAUUUUGGACAAUGGGCGCAAGCCUGAUCCAGCAAUGCCGCGUGCAGGAUGAAGGGCCUUCGGGUUGGUUAAACGUAGU
This 407-nucleotide ribosomal RNA is filed under the name uncultured bacterium. RNAcentral describes it as "bacterial SSU rRNA". It matches the Rfam family "Bacterial small subunit ribosomal RNA", at positions 30 to 436 of the family's 1533-position model. The record is from RNAcentral.